RNAcentral lists this non-coding RNA (30 nucleotides) under Mus musculus (house mouse). Lineage: Eukaryota; Metazoa; Chordata; Mammalia; Rodentia; Muridae. The record is from RNAcentral.
UGCUGUCCAGUUUGUAUGUGUUGUCUAAUU